AGCUGGCUAGCCGGCUAAUCGCCACAACAGACGACUAGCGAUGCUAAAUCUAGCCACAAAAGGCGUCGUUAUGUGCGGAAAAGGUGCUUCUGUUCACAAGGAAAUAUGAAGAAACCUCCUAAUGAGAUGAAAGCUGCCGGGAUGUUCAGAGGGAGAUGAUGCCACAUCUGGUCCAGCUGAUGGAAGGUCUUGAAGUUCUCUGACUGGCCUGGACUGAAGAUGGUCGUCUCACUGGAUUUAAGGUUCAGAUGCUCAGUAACAAACUCCACCAAUGAGCCAACAGGGAAGCUGUAGGUUUAUUAAAUGUUGCUAUGAAGGUUUCACUGUUUUUCUUUGUGAAUGCAAUGAGCUCCAACUGAAAGUUGAAUUAGAACUUAGAAGUAAAUCCUUCCAUCUGAAAGGAUUUAGUUGCAUUAAUAACCUCAUAACAUUCUAAUUUUUAUUCCAGUCUUGGUUGGAAAUAGAAUCUCUGUAUUGAUUCAGGUGAAAACUGAACUUCACAGCAUGUUGGAGCAAAACAACCAGAUGAAAACUGUGAUGGUGUUGGAUUGUCAGACCGUAAUGUUGCAGCUCAAAGCAGCUUUUCUAGCUCAGUUCAUUCUGACAUUCAGCUAUGAAUCAACACAGCAGAUGGUGAUCCAUGCUGUGGAAGUCUCACAUCUCCUGAUUUAAUGGAGCUGCUUUGCACUUUUUACACUGUUUAUUCACCAACACUUUAUUUAAUAAAAGUUCCAAUCUAGUUUUUAUGAGGAAUGUGAUGUUUUAAUUUCUCUGUGAAUAACUGCAGUCUAAUGGAACAGCUGGAAUUGUAACAUCUGUCCUGAUAUUGAUCAUGAAGUAUUGAUCAGAAUACUUAUGGUCAGCAGUCAUCCCUGAAGUUUUACAUUAAAAUCUUUACUUGUGUUGUGAACUUUGGUAAGAAGCAGAAACGUUAGCGUUGCCAUGGAUAUAUGAGUGUUAAAUUCUGUCCAUGUUUCCAUUUUGGGAAAUUCAGUCCAGCAGAUGAGUUUGUUUUUACUGCCAGCUACCAUUCAGUCUGAGAUAUUAAGAAUAAAUAAAUGUGCAUAAUGUGGAAAUGAACAGAUUUUAUUUUUAUUUAUUCCUACAGCGGAUGCAGAGAAAGUUCCAGAAUGUGGAGGAAUUUAGUCUCAUAAUCACAGACAAUAAAUAUGAUCUGAAAGUCGGGUUAUUGUUGUUUAUCAGCACAAUACAAAAAGAUUCAUGUUAGAAAUAUUUCAGUUAAGACUCUAGAGUAUCAUGAUUUAUGUAAAUUUACCUCAAUAAUAUGAAUGUUCAGGUUAAGAUUGUGCAGUGAUAUUUAUUAUGUUAGUUUAGCUGAUUAAAAUUUAUGACUCUGCACUACAAUAUUAUUAUUUAAAUUUACAUCAUUAUUAUAAUAUUUAGGGUCAGACCCUACAGUAAUGAGAUUAAGAAAUCAAAUAUUCUACAAAAUGUAAAUACACUGAACUCAUUUGGAUAUAUUUAAGUGAGACUCUACAAUAUUAUUUGACACAAAUCUAAAUCAAAAUUUUCAUCAUUUUUACUCCAAACAUUUACUGGACUGAUUUAAAUAUUAAAAUCACUCCUUUCUAAUCCUCUGCUGUACGUUCAAACCUGAGGCCUUAAAUAGAAACACACAAGUAUCUGAUUGAAGGAACUUCUGCAGAGUCCUGGUUCCAGAACAUGAUGAUAGAAUUAUAGACAAACUUUAACAAAAGCUGCCUGAGAGUUUACAGGUGUUUAUGUUAGAUUUCUUUAGUAAUUUAAUGAGUUAUCAGCAAAAAUCAAGUGUUCAUUUGAUGAACUUCAUUCCUAAAACAUCCAGAAUUGGAGCUCAUAUCUUUGGCAGCUGUAAAGUUUCUGCUCCUUCAAAGUUCACAACACAAUGAAUGAAUUCCUAAAAUACUCUCAAUGCUGGAGAGCGUUUGAUGCUGAAGCAGUGAUCAGUUUUUCUGUUUCUUCUCUGGAGAUGCACAAUGAGGGACGUCUGCAGAGACUGAGAAAGAAUCUCACCACAUCCUGACAUGAGGAAAAAGACUUUAUUGAAGACUACAAUGAGAAAAACUAUCAGACAGCAGACGGCUGCAUUCAAGGUGAGAUCUGAACAUUUGAUCUGGAACAGGAAUUCAAUAACGGCAGCAUGAGCUUCAUUUCAGUCUGUAGCUGCUGAAUUCAUGGAUGAAUCAUCUGGCACUAGAGAGGAAGACCAUCAAACAUCCACGUCAGCUGAUGGAGGUCCAAGGUUCUCACCCAACAAACAGCCUACUGAGUGAAGACCUCGAACUUGUUUGGACGGCCUCCUAUUCAGCCACAUUUUAGGCUGUUAGAUUGUUCCAGACAAGUACAAGAUACUUCACAGCCGUUCUACCACGAGCCUGACAGGAAGAACUCCAACAGCUACUGAAUGUUCCUGUGGUUCCCUCAAGGCUACAGGAGGAGCCCUACGAGGACGAGCCGGUCCACCUGAUGGCGGCCAGUCGCUGCGGUUCAAAGCCAACACCGACUACGUGGACUUCUACUGGACCACACGGAGGCCUUCAAACCGGACCAACAAGUUCAGCGACUCCCCGACUCGUGGGUCUGAGGACGCCGCCGAGCCUUGGUCCAGCCGGCCUCCUGUCUGUGGGUGUUUGAGUGCUGAGAGGUUUGUGGAUGCAUGUGAACAUGUUUGUGUUGAAACAGCAGCUUUGGACUCAGUAACGCCGGGAAAAACCAAGAGCUCCUUUAUUUGUGACUUUCACUAAAAAACUGAUGAAAAUAAGUUUGCCAGGGUUCUGACUGAUAACAGAUUAUUAAAUAAUGAAAAUAAUCAUUUAAAUAUUCCUUUAAACAAUCCUUUUAGGUCUACAUUUCUUUUACACUGACUUCUUGGUAUAUGUACAAGUAUUUUGGGUGGAAUAUACCAUUAAGCCCAAUGUUCAAGGGUUCUUCUGGGAAUAUACCAUUAAACCAACCUUUUAGGUAAAUGUUCCAGGAUGUUGGGUAGAAUAUACCAUCAGAUCAACCUUUUAGGUCUGCAUUGGAAGAUUUUAGAGUAGAAUAUUACUCCAAACAAUCCUUUAGGUCUACAUUUAAGGUGGAAUACUCCUUUACACCAAGAUUUUUUGGUCUACAUUGAAGGAUUUUAGGUGGAAAAUUCCUUUGAACAAACUUUUUAAGUUUAUGUUCAAGGAUGUUGGGUGGAAUAUACCAUCAGACCAACCUCCAAGGUCUACAGUAGUGAAUUUUAGGUGGAAUAUACCAUUAAACUCACCUUUUAGGUCUACAUUGGAGUAUUUUAGGUGGAAUUUUCUUCCAAACCGUCUUUCAGUCUAAAUUUAAGGAUGUUUAGGAUGGUAUAUUCUUCAAACCAACUUCUCAGGUCUACAUUUCAGGUGGAAUAUUCCUCCAUACUAACUUUUUGGGUCUACAUUGAAGGAUUUUUUUUCUAAACCACCCUUUCAGGUCUAUAUUUGAGGUUUUAGGUGGAAUAUUCCUUUUACCAGCCCCUCAGGUCUCUUUGAGGAUUUUGGAUGGAAUACUUGGUUAAAGCAACAUUUUAGGUGCAUGGCCAAGGAUUUUUGGUGGAAUGUUCCUUUAAGGUGGAUGUGUGAGGACCUUGUAGGUGGAAUACUUCCUGAAACCAACCUUUUAGGUCAACAUUCAAAGAUUUAAGGUGGAAUAUUCCUUUAAACCAACCUAAAUUUCAUGUUUUGAUCAUUAUCAAGUGAGAAACCUCAAUCCAGACUCCUCAUAAUGACGUAUGAGAUUUAUGCUGCUGUUAUUUGUUUAGUCCAGACUAAAUGACAGAAAUCCACAACUGUAAUUUUAUUUCAGGACUCGGUUAUUAAAUGUCAAAACAAUCCAUGUGACUCUAAAAACUCAACAGCUUUACAAACUCUAAGAUUAAACUCUCCACAAGGAUCCAAAAUAAGUUAGACUUCUACAUGAGAGCUUUAGUUAUUCUUCAUCUACUUCCUGAAAAGUUUGGUCAAUAAAAAAGACAAAAACUAAUAUUUUCAGCUGAACUAAAGACAGACUUUGUGAUUUUUCUGCUCACAUGUUGUGUUGUUGCAAACUUACUCUUUCAAAUAAAUAGCCUCCUAA
This is a long non-coding RNA of Amphiprion ocellaris (clown anemonefish), 4086 nucleotides long. RefSeq lists it as uncharacterized. The record is from RefSeq and is a predicted model, not a curated record. The transcript is spliced from 3 exons. NCBI's taxonomy places the organism in Eukaryota, Metazoa, Chordata, Actinopteri, Pomacentridae.